This 1874-nucleotide long non-coding RNA is filed under the name Capsicum annuum. RNAcentral's name for it is "long non-coding RNA (CANN_LNC015935)". Lineage: Eukaryota; Viridiplantae; Streptophyta; Magnoliopsida; Solanales; Solanaceae. The record is from RNAcentral.
UUGGGAAUGGAUUGGUUCUACUAAUGUUAUGCCUCUCUUGAUUGCCGGACCAGAAGGGUCAGCUUCCAAUUCUCGAGUGCACCGGUGAUUGGGUGGGAAGGUAGUUCCUUAGUACCUAAGGAAAGGUUAAUUUCUUAUCUUAGAGCCCGGUGGUUGAUCUCCAAGGGGUGUCACUGCCAUUUAGUCCAUGUUAAGGAUUCUAUUUCGAUUGUCCUUCGUUGUAACUUGUCCCUGUGGUCUGUGAGUUUUUUAGGUGUUUCCUAAUGAUCUUCCUAGUGUUCCUCCUAAUAGGAAAAUUAAUUUUGGGAUUGAUCUUCUUUUAGACACUUAUCCUAUCUCUAUCCCUCCCUAUAUAAUGGCUCUGACUGAGUUGAACGAACUUAAGGAGCAGUUGAAAGAUCUCCUUGAUAAAGGUUCUAUUCGCCCUAGUGUCUCUCCGUAGGGCACUCCGGUACUGUUCUACAUAGAAAAGAAUCCAAGUGUAUGCUUUGUUAGACAUAGUAAUGUUUUGACGUUCCUUUGAGAUGAAAAUUCAGAACAACGAGCAAAGAAGACAGGAAUGUGUGUAUGCAUACUUAGUUUAAUGAAAAUAUCAUCAUCAUCAUCAUAAUAUAAUAAUAAUAAUAUAAUAAUAGUAAUAAUAAUAAUAAUAAUAACAAUAAAAACCAUAGAUGGCUAUUUUUCAAAAUAUAUCCAAUUUUCAAUUACAUAUUUUGCACAGAGCUACAAAUAUUUCCAUGGAUCACCUGUCAUUUUUUAGACAACAUAACAACAUAUUCAAGCAUCACUUAUUGAUUUUGCUAGAAAGAUCAAAACGACAUAUUUUGAUGGGCAUCAAAACUUCUAAUUCUACCAUAAAAAUCAGGUUAUCAAGACAUAAUAAUAGACCAUAGAGGGAAAGAAAAAAAGAGCUUGAAAAUAUACCAAAACAAAUACUAAAAACAGACCAAAACAAACACACCUAAUGAUCAAAAUUUCAACAUCUUUCAAACUGCUCAUAUUCAUAUCAUCAUAACAAGCAAAACUUACUUCUUUAAGAUAAUCAUCACCAAUAUGCAUAAGAUAGAUUGAAGUCGAACAAAUAGAAGCAGAGAAAAUUCAGGCUUAACUUACAAAGUUGUUUACACAAAAUAAAAUAUAACCACCGAGAAAAGGGAUAGAGGAAUCACCUCUUUCUGGACAGCAAAUCGAAACUACGAGCUCUUCAUCAGAUUAUUACUUCACCACCACCGAAAUAAAUUUGUAUUCUUAGCCUAUAAAUUCAAGCUCAAACGAGUCUUAUCAAAAUUUUUGAUACUGAAAUCCUUCUUCGAAUAGCAAAAUCCCAUGCUUUUCGAGGUUCUCGCUAUCCGACCUUUCUCUAACCUCAUUCAAUGACAGCAAUAGAGGUAUAUAAAGGAAGGGAUUUGAGCUCAAUUUAGAGCUCUUUAACGAUGUGGGAUAAAAUAAUUUAGGGUACGUUUGGAUAUUUUUGAAAGGGAAUUUCGAAUAGAGAGUUGGAUAAGAUUAAGUUAGAAUCGUACAAAUCAGUACAAAUUUUUUAAAUUCAAACAGGUAGCUUUUGCUGGCUACAACUGCGUCGUUUUGUGACUGAUUCAAGUUGCUUAUGGGUUAGUUGAAUUUGUUGUACAUCGGGUCAGAUUGGUGGUGGGUUGAAGCUGCUGCUGAGCCAUUUCUCAUCAGCUAGUGUUGUUAUCGUUGGGUUGUUGGGUUGUUAUUGUGAACGUUGGAUCGUUGUACUGUGAUGAGUAAAGGGAAAAAGAUCAGGUCGGGUAAGCUGGUUAUGGGUUGAAGUGUCGGGUCGUGGAUAGGUUUGGAGUGGGCCGGGGCCAACUGAUUGGGCUGGGGAGGUUAAAUGGGGCUACUGUUGAUUG